This is a long non-coding RNA of Hippocampus zosterae (dwarf seahorse), 951 nucleotides long. RefSeq lists it as uncharacterized. The transcript has 2 exons. NCBI's taxonomy places the organism in Eukaryota, Metazoa, Chordata, Actinopteri, Syngnathiformes, Syngnathidae. The record is from RefSeq and is a predicted model, not a curated record.
CUUUCCCCACUGAUUUUACAUGACUUGUAUUAACAUUGCCACACCACCUGUUCUAGUGGAUAGCUUUUCAGUUAAUAUUUGACAUUGCUGGCUUCUGUUGAAACUUUUUGCAUUCUGCGCCAUGUGACGAGGCUAACGUUACACAGGGUGCUGUCCAGGGCAAUGUCAGGCGUGAAGAAAGAGCCUCCGGUUCAAGCAGAGGCAAAUGCCCUGGCAGGUGACCUGGCAUUGGAUGUGCUCAUGACAGUACACCGAGUGACAGCAUCUGACAUUGUAAUUGUCUGCUCCGGGCAAGGACAUGGUCGGUGUUAUACAUCUUAAGUUUCCUUGCAGUCGAAAUAAUUCAUAACUGGAAUUGCUGGUAUCUAUAACCUGAUCUCGGCAAGCUGGUGGAAUUUUAGAUUUACAGCGCUCCUGUCAUGGGUAAAAUAACAAGGAUUCGAAAUAUUCAAAGGCUUCUGAAUAUCAGGGAAUUUUCUUUUUUCAUUUGACUAAAUUAUAAAUGUUAUGUUGUCAUUUAGUGACACUCUCUUCCUGCUACACUUGUUUAUUGAGAUUACGGUGGAAAUAAUUAAAUAAAAGAAAAUAUUACAAAUAAUUCAAACAUAUAUAAUAAUGAAUCAUUUAGUAAGCAAUCUCAACUUUACACUUUCACACAGCAGAGCGUUGAGCUAGGCGAAAUAACUGAUUUAUUGGAGUUGAAAAAAAGUGGAUAUCUAAAAUGCAUGACAGUGUUACACAUAUCUUGCAAAUUCCAACUGAACACCCCCCAAACUGCUGGUGGUAGUCAAGUAAGUAAUCGACAAUAGGAGAGCCGGCGACAAAAUAUUUUAUUUGUAUAUUGAUAAACAUGUUGUCCUGCAUUAGAUGUCACCUUCUGCGCAGCACAUGUGCUGUGAAUUCUCUGUGCGGGACCUGCAUCCUCCAAUAAAUGGAAAUUCCUGUGCUUUA